CUGAUGCAGCGACGCCGCGUGAGGGAUGACGGCCUUCGGGUUGUAAACCUCUUUCAGUAGGGAAGAAGCGAAAGUGACGGUACCUGCAGAAGAAGCACCGGCUAACUACGUGCCAGCAGCCGCGGUAAUACGUAGGGUGCGAGCGUUAUCCGGAAUUAUUGGGCGUAAAGAGCUCGUAGGCGGUUUGUCGCGUCUGUCGUGAAAGUCCGGGGCUUAACCCCGGAUCUGCGGUGGGUACGGGCAGACUAGAGUGCAGUAGGGGAGACUGGAAUUCCUGGUGUAGCGGUGGAAUGCGCAGAUAUCAGGAGGAACACCGAUGGCGAAGGCAGGUCUCUGGGCUGUAACUGACGCUGAGGAGCGAAAGCAUGGGGAGCGAACA
This 379-nucleotide ribosomal RNA is filed under the name Micrococcus sp. Its description in RNAcentral is "bacterial SSU rRNA". It matches the Rfam family "Bacterial small subunit ribosomal RNA", at positions 383 to 774 of the family's 1533-position model. Lineage: Bacteria; Bacillati; Actinomycetota; Actinomycetes; Micrococcales; Micrococcaceae. The record is from RNAcentral.